RNAcentral lists this ribosomal RNA (1816 nucleotides) under Zea mays subsp. mexicana (Mexican teosinte). RNAcentral's name for it is "bacterial LSU rRNA". It matches the Rfam family "Bacterial large subunit ribosomal RNA", at positions 306 to 2242 of the family's 2925-position model. The record is from RNAcentral. Lineage: Eukaryota; Viridiplantae; Streptophyta; Magnoliopsida; Poales; Poaceae.
CAGUGCCUUUCAUUCAAGUAGCAGAACACUCUGGAAAGUGUGGCCAUAGCGGGUGACAGCCCCGUAUGCGAAACUGAUGUGAAAGGACUCGAGUAGGGCGGGACACGUGUAAUCCUGUCUGAACAUGGGGGGACCACCCUCCAAGCCUAAAUACUCGUACAUGACCGAUAGCGAACUAGUACCGUGAGGGAAAGGUGAAAAGCACCCCGAUGAGGGGAGUGAAACAGUACCUGAAACGGAUUGCCUACAAGCAGUAGGAGCCUCUUUAUGGGGUGACUGCGUACCUCUUGCAUAAUGGGUCUGUGACUUAAUGUUUCAAGCAAGCUUAAGCCGAUAGGUGUAGGCGCAGCGAAAGCGAGUCUGAAUAGGGCGACAUAGUUUGAAGUAUUAGACCCGAAACCCGGCGAUCUAUGCAUGACCAGGAUGAAGGUGCGGUAACACGCACUGGAGGUCCGAACCGAUUAACGUUGAAAAGUUACCGGAUGAGUUGUGCUUAGGGGUGAAAGGCCAAUCAAGCCGGGAAAUAGCUGGUUCUCCGCGAAAACUAUUGAGGUAGUGCCUCGAGCGGACACCAUAGGGGGUAGAGCACUGGAUGGUUGCGGGGGUCGCGAGAUCUACCAAUACUAACCAAACUCCGAAUACCUAUGAGUGAUACUCGGGAGACAGACGGCGGGUGCUAAGGUCCGUCGUCAAAAGGGAAACAGCCCUGACCUACAGCUAAGGUCCCCAAGUCGUGUCUAAGUGGGAAAGCAUGUGGAAAUCCCAAAACAACCAGGAGGUUGGCUUAGAAGCAGCCAUCCUUUAAAGAAAGCGUAACAGCUCACUGGUCUAAACAAGGGUUUCUGCGGCGAAGAUGUAACGGGGCUCAAGACACGCACCGAAGCUUAGGGUGUGCACUUUGUACACGCGGUAGCGGAGCGUUCCGUAAGCCUGCGAAGCGAUCUGGUAAUGGGUCGUGGAGGUAUCGGAAGUGCGAAUGCAGACAUGAGUAGCGAUAAAGAGGGUGAGAUGCCCUCUCGCCGAAAGACCAAGGGUUCCUGCGCAAGGCUAAUCCGCGCAGGGUGAGCCGGCCCCUAAGACGAGCCCGAAGGGGGUAGUCGAUGGGAACCACGUUAAUAUUCGUGGGCCUGGUGGUGAGUGACGGAUCCCGUGUGUUGUUCGAUCUUAUCGGAUUGAUCGAGCCUCGAAGGGGUCCCAGGAAAUAGCCCCACCGUAUAGACCGUACCCGAAACCGACACAGGUGGUCAGGUAGAGUAUACCAAGGCGCUUGAGAGAAGUGUCCUGAAGGAACUCGGCAAAUUGCCUCCGUACCUUCGGAAGAAGGAGGCCCCACAUGAGCGCAAGCUUUUGUGGGGGGCACAGGCCAGGGGGUAGCGACUGUUUAGCAAAAACACAGGGCUCUGCUAAGUCGGCUUCAAGACGACGUAUAGGGCCUGACGCCUGCCCGGUGCCUGAAGGUUAAGUGGAGGAGUGCAAGCUCUGAAAUGAAGCCCAGGUAAACGGCGGCCGUAACUAUAACGGUCCUAAGGUAGCGAAAUUCCUUGUCGGGUAAGUUCCGACCUGCACGAAUGGCGUAACGACUUCCCCACUGUCUCCAGGACAUGCUCAGCGAAAUUGAAUUCUCCGUGAAGAUGCGGAGUACCCGCGGUUAGACGGAAAGACCCCGUGCACCUUUACUGCAGCUUCAGAGUGGCAUUGGACAAGAACUGUGUAGCAUAGGUGGGAGGCUUUGAAGCAUUGGCGCCAGCCGAUGUGGAGCCAUAGGUGAAAUACCACCCUGUUGUUGUUUAAUGUCUAACCUCGUACCGUGAAACCG